UCCAACUAAACAGCUCAACAUACAAAUAGUGAACGUAAGGGCGCAGUCCUUUCAGUGUUGCCCUCCCAGUUUGUUUCACUUUUCAGGCCAGUCGCCAUUCUUUGGGGUAGGGCGGGGUAUUGUCUGUUGUGGGAUGUCCCUUCAGAAGGGAAAAUUGCAAGUACUCUGUUGUGUAUCAGUGUCUGCUGGUCAGCUCUACAAACGAUCUGUCGAAAUAGGGGUGCUAUGGGAAGGAAUUUCUACCUAUGCCACAGUGCAAGUAAUUAAGGAGCAUCAGACAAGGCAACAAAGGCUGGUCAGAGUGCCAGAGGGCUGGUGUCCCAGCAGCAGGCUGCAUGGGUGCUGAGGGAUGCUGAAUGUGCAGCCAGAGCAAGGCUCGCCACCGUGGCUAAAAGGUAACACAGACAGAUUUUGGACUGCAGAUCCUUUCUGUGAUUCCAGACACCAAAUCAACACAGCUGCAUGACACCAGGGUGAGCUGUGAAGCUGCUGAAGAACCAUGUUUUGGAAGAAGCAGAAAAGUAAAAUCUUGAUUCCUUGCAGUAACUUGUAUGGAGGUUAAUUCCAUGAAUUGAUCUUGCUCUGCAAUUGGCAGUAUAAGAAUAUCUUACUAAAAAGAGAAUGAAGAUGGGGAUAUCAACAUAAGUGGUGGAUGUUAAAGAAUGAGGUAGCUUGAUGACAGCUGAAGAAGACUGUAUUUGCCGAAGAGCAGCAUGAUGGUAGAGAGGAGCAGAGCUCCUGAGGGAGAUCUAAUGGUGCCUCUCCUUCCUGCACAGAGAUAAAGACUUAUAAUAAGCGUGUAUGUUCACCAUCUGGCUCUGUGCAUGUGGUCCUUAUGGAGGCGAAAGCAGCACAAUCUGUAAAUGAUCAGGAGCCAUCGCACUCUCUCCAGAGAAUCCACGAUGCAAUCAAGGUGACAGAUGGCAUGGCCGCUGCUGUGGCCUCAUGGAGAAGAUCAAAAUCACCUUCAAUAAACUCUGACUGAAAUGGGCAUGAGCACCUCAAAAAAGUCAGUUUGUCAGUCAAACUGCGACAGCAAGCUGCAUUGGGGAAACAUAGCGGCCAGCUCUCUGUUUUCAAUCGUUUCCAUCUGACUGAGCCUGAACUAUGAUCUUUCUCAAAUUGUCCUUUCUGUUUAGCUGAAGCAGGCCAGCAAAUUGCCAGAUUCAUAGCUUUAUUGAAGGAAAUUGAAAACAUGAUGUCCUCAAUUCAAGGGACAAACAGCUGGCAGGUGCUUGGACACCCAAGCACAUAAAAUGGACCCCUAGUCUUUUGGACAAGUUUGUCCAACUUUUGU
Cygnus olor (mute swan) is the source of this 1297-nucleotide long non-coding RNA. RefSeq lists it as uncharacterized. The transcript has 5 exons. NCBI's taxonomy places the organism in Eukaryota, Metazoa, Chordata, Aves, Anseriformes, Anatidae. The record is from RefSeq and is a predicted model, not a curated record.